This is a non-coding RNA of Schizosaccharomyces pombe (fission yeast), 659 nucleotides long. Lineage: Eukaryota; Fungi; Ascomycota; Schizosaccharomycetes; Schizosaccharomycetales; Schizosaccharomycetaceae. The record is from the annotation of a GenBank genome assembly.
UUCGACUUCCUCUCUUAUUUUUACACCAGUAUCAAACACUAGAAAUGACUAGCACUCAAGAUUUGUUAGAUUCAAUAUACGACAAAUACUCCUUAUGUAAUUUUUCUUGUUGAGCGUAUUCUUUUUGCAAUUUUUUCUUACGGCUUUUGGGAACGUCUAUUUCCGAGCCGUCUUCGCCGCGCAUUUUUGUAGGUAAACCCGCUUCAUCGAAUGAAAGGUAUUCUUUGAACAUUUUAAACAUCUCUGAUGGUGAUGUCUUUCCCUUCAUAACACGUUCCACUUGCUUCUUUUCCUGUUCGGCUUUUGCUUGUGCUUUCUUAGCUUGCUUAGCUCUCUCCUCUUCAAGCUUUUGCUCCCUAGCAGCAAUUAACUCUUCAGCAUCAACAAGUUUGACAAGUGCAGAACCUUGGGGACGAUCAUUAAAACUAACACCAAGUGCAGCCAUAUCAUAGUCUCUAAAUAUAUCACAAGCUUUGAGAAUCUCCUGAGAAGAAGCUUUAGCAAUGCAAAGCUCCCUUACACGAUCGCGGAAUGAAGAUACAGCCCUAAUGUAUGGCAUGGCAUCAGUGUUCUCCGAAGAACUUCCUUUCGAUGAUGACCAUCCAACAGCGUUGGGGUGGCCGUUUUCAUCGAGGCCAAAAAUUUGGAGCAUCGAAGUG